This 366-nucleotide ribosomal RNA is filed under the name uncultured eukaryote. Its description in RNAcentral is "partial 18S ribosomal RNA". It matches the Rfam family "Eukaryotic small subunit ribosomal RNA", at positions 592 to 976 of the family's 1831-position model. The record is from RNAcentral.
CAAUAGCGUAUAUUAAAGUUGUUGCAGUUAAAAAGCUCGUAGUUGAAUUUCUGGUGGGCGCGCCGGUCUUCCAAGUGUUGUACUGGGCGCAGUCCGCCAUCCUUGUGGAGAGGGCUAGCAUUGAGUUGCGUGUCGGAUCUGCAUCAUUUACUGUGAAAAAAUUAGAGUGUUUAAAGCAGGCUGUCGCUUGAAUACAUUAGCAUGGAAUAAUAAGAUAGGACUUCGGUCUAUUUUGUUGGUUGCGAACCGAGGUAAUGAUUAAUAGGGAUAGUUGGGGGUAUUCAUAUUUAAUUGUCAGAGGUGAAAUUCUUGGAUUUAUGAAAGAUGAACAACUGCGAAAGCAUUUACCAAGGAUGUUUUCAUUNA